AGAGUUUGAUCAUGGCUCAGGACGAACGCUGGCGGCGUGCCUAAUACAUGCAAGUAGAACGCUGACUACUUUAGCUUGCUAGAGUAGAAGGAGUUGCGAACGGGUGAGUAACGCGUAGGUAACCUGCCUACUAGCGGGGGAUAACUAUUGGAAACGAUAGCUAAUACCGCAUAACAGUGUUUAACACAUGUUAGAUGCUUGAAAGAUGCAAAUGCAUCACUAGUAGAUGGACCUGCGUUGUAUUAGCUAGUUGGUGGGGUAACGGCCUACCAAGGCGACGAUACAUAGCCGACCUGAGAGGGUGAUCGGCCACACUGGGACUGAGACACGGCCCAGACUCCUAUGGGAGGCAGCAGUGGGGAAUCUUCGGCAAUGGGGGCAACCCUGACCGAGCAACGCCGCGUGAGUGAAGAAGGUUUUCGGAUCGUAAAGCUCUGUUGUAAGAGAAGAACGUGUGUGAGAGUGGAAAGUUCACACAGUGACGGUAACUUACCAGAAAGGGACGGCUAACUACGUGCCAGCAGCCGCGGUAAUACGUAGGUCCCGAGCGUUGUCCGGAUUUAUUGGGCGUAAAGCGAGCGCAGGCGGUUUAAUAAGUCUGAAGUUAAAGGCAGUGGCUUAACCAUUGUUCGCUUUGGAAACUGUUAAACUUGAGUGCAGAAGGGGAGAGUGGAAUUCCAUGUGUAGCGGUGAAAUGCGUAGAUAUAUGGAGGAACACCGGUGGCGAAAGCGGCUCUCUGGUCUGUAACUGACGCUGAGGCUCGAAAGCGUGGGGAGCAAACAGGAUUAGAUACCCUGGU
RNAcentral lists this ribosomal RNA (800 nucleotides) under uncultured bacterium. RNAcentral describes it as "bacterial SSU rRNA". It matches the Rfam family "Bacterial small subunit ribosomal RNA", at positions 8 to 791 of the family's 1533-position model. The record is from RNAcentral.